Molecule: ribosomal RNA, 516 nt
Filed under: uncultured bacterium
Lineage: Bacteria
Description: bacterial SSU rRNA
Rfam family: Bacterial small subunit ribosomal RNA
Source: RNAcentral
AACGCUGGCGGCGUGCCUAAUACAUGCAAGUCGAACGGUCUUUCUAUGGAAGCUUGCUUCCACUGAGAAGAUAGUGGCGAACGGGUGAGUAACACGUGGGGUAACCUGCCCAUAAGAGGGGGGAUAACAUCCGGAAACGGGUGCUAAUACCGCAUAGUUUUCUUGAUCGCAUGAUUGAGAAAGGAAAGACGGCCUUUGUGCUGUCGCUUAUGGAUGGACCCGCGGCGUAUUAGUUAGUUGGUGAGGUAACGGCUCACCAAGACGAUGAUACGUAGCCGACCUGAGAGGGUGAUCGGCCACAUUGGGACUGAGACACGGCCCAAACUCCUACGGGAGGCAGCAGUAGGGAAUCUUCCGCAAUGGACGAAAGUCUGACGGAGCAACGCCGCGUGAGUGAAGAAAAGGUUUUCGGAUCGUAAAACUCUGUUGUCAGAGAAGAACAAGUUGGAGAGUAACUGCUCCAGCCUUGACGGUAUCUGACCAGAAAGCCACGGCUAACUACGUGCCAGCCGCCGC